UGUACUUUCUUUAAACAUAUUUAAAGUAUGCUUACAACAUAUUUGCGCGUAUUUUUUACAAUUAAACUUUAAACAUACUUCAAAAUAAUUAUACUUUAGUAUAUUUUCUAAAAGUAUACUUUAGAAAAAUAUACUUAAAGUUAAAGUUUUGUGCAAUUUUUAAAGUAUACUAAAUUUAAACUUAUUUUAAAAUGUAUUUUAGGUAUACUUUAUCGGUAUGCUUAAAGUUAUCAUUAUAAUAAUGCACUGACAGUAUAUUUCUAAAAUACAUUAUUUAGUAUUCUUUAGAAACAGUAUAUUUUAAGCACAUUUUGAAAGUAUAUGGGGUGUACAAGUAUAUUAUUUUAUGGAGAAAUAACGUGGGCUUAAAAUUACGAGAGAGCAGUAUGUUCUGUUACAUUUUAUAUUGUAGAUGUAUACAUUUGUAAUAUACUAUUAACAUAAUAAGGUACACUUUAACUUCACUAUAGUCAAGCAUUGGAUAAACCAUUGAACUGUGUUUUACCACAAAAUGACCAUGGUUUUGCUAAUAAUAAUCAACACACCAAAAAAAAAAAAAAACAUGGUUACUAAACUUUUACCACAAAAAAACAUUCAUUUUCGUAAGGGGAAUAUGAGUGUUUGUUUUUUUGUAGUUUUUGAGUCAAUUGCAUACCGCUUUUAGCUGUACACAUUAAUUAACUUAAACAGUUUUCGUAAAUGCAUUUCAGAGAAAAGUGAAUUCUGAGAUUUGAAUAAUGCAUCUGACGUGUGGGAUGACGUCACGACGCACGUAUUUUGAUUUUUACCAGUCGCUCAAGACAGACGGAUUCAGUCCCAAGAAGCUAAAGUUUUUCAAAGACAUUUGUAGGGAGGACUUUGCAGCUAAUGAUUUCCUUAGGCUGAACCAAAACCUGCCAGACUAAAGUUGAUUUGGGAGAGAAAGACGUUGUAAACUUAAUCAUCUUGACAUUCUUCAAUGAGUAAUUGUUCAAUUUUUAGGCAAAUACUGUACACUUUGAAUGCUGUGAAUAAAACUAUAUUUUAAAUAUAUUUAAAA
Misgurnus anguillicaudatus (oriental weatherfish) is the source of this 1039-nucleotide non-coding RNA. The record is from RefSeq and is a predicted model, not a curated record. Lineage: Eukaryota; Metazoa; Chordata; Actinopteri; Cypriniformes; Cobitidae.